AGUAAAGUGGCGCACGGGUGAGUAACACGUGGAUAAUCUGCCUUUUUGUGGGGGAGUAACCUGGGGAAACCUGGGCUAAUACCGCAUAAGCUCGAGAGAGGAAAGCCGCAAGGCGCAGGAAGAGGAGUCCGCGGUCGAUUAGCUAGUUGGUAGGGUAAAAGCCUACCAAGGCCACGAUCGAUAGCCGGCCUGAGAGGGCACACGGCCACACUGGCACUGAAACACGGGCCAG
This 232-nucleotide ribosomal RNA is filed under the name uncultured bacterium. Its description in RNAcentral is "partial 16S ribosomal RNA". It matches the Rfam family "Bacterial small subunit ribosomal RNA", at positions 89 to 334 of the family's 1533-position model. The record is from RNAcentral.